UGAUAUUACGCUUUAUAUUUGCACCUGACGCUUUCCCCCGGUCGUUCUGCACAUUUGUACAAAGAGAUUUUAUUCAACGUUGUUGCAACCUGAAAAAGUCUUUCAACCGAAAGAAAGUAACCAACGUGAAAGAAAUAACGCGAAGAAAGACGUAAGAAAUCUUUAGGAAAGCGACACUUGAGUUUCGAAGAUUCCACUUGCAGCUGGUCGCGUGCGUUUAAUGUCGAUGACCUAGAAUAUUCGCGUGAAAGAGGGCUACGGAGAAAUGUGGUGAAACAGUAUAAUGGUAUUUCAAAUCGAGCGAAAUUGUACACACUCUCUCGUGCGCUGACUCAACCGACUAAUGCCCCUGUUAAUAUAUUCAGCUUCUUGUAAUUCCUCAUCCGAAAACCGGACCGGACCAAUUUGCGCUGGCAUAAUUUAACCGAUAAACUGGUCGUAGAAAAGUAAAAUUACCCGAUCUGAUUAAGUGAAAUUGCAUUUUUACGCGUAGAACGAAACUUUGGUAUGCACAACUGGUUUGACCUGUUCGACUAUAUCGGUGGAAAGCCAAAUAUUUAGUUCUGGGCGAUGCGCACAGGGAACUGGAAUUCAAUUCUUUAUUCCUUACACGUGUCGAUAAAAAUAUGAAUUUGAACAAACAUCCGCAGUCCGAAGACGAGUGUACCUUUCUUUACCCAGUUUGUGUCGUUUAACUAGAAACACAAGUGUGUUCGCACCCGAAUCGACGACGUCCUAGUGGAAAGCACUUCGCUUUCUAGUGCGUAAAACAUGGACGGCGGUUUCACGAUCCGUUGAGGACAUCUCAUUCGUAACGGCGAUGAUGUAUCGCAGGAGAUCCGACGCUUUCGAUAAAUUUGAAAGGCUCGACUUACGAGAUCGGACCUCCCUGUACCCCAGAUCUCUCGUUGAUAAAAAGAAACGGCCGUUGAGCGUGACAAACGCGAAAAAAGAGUAAAAGCGAGGCCUAGGACCCCGGCACUGACAAGCAGCGAAUCAUCGUGGACAAAUAAAGUUCGAUCUCCCGUCGAUACGAAGAAAGUACACUGGUUUUUUGGCUCGUCGCUUUCCCUUCUGGGAAGAGAGGUGCCCCCAACUGUCAAACGGUCGAAAGUAUAGUCGCAUCCUGGAUUGUACGAGUUCAGGAUUUAAAGGCACACGAGACACCACCGGCCAAACCAGUACAACCCAAAGAAAAGCAAAAUGAAAAAAUAAGAAUAUCUGGCUGCAGAAUUUCACGAAAAUCGUAGGAUGAUGGAUCUCGCCAGCUUCCAGCAUCGCGUGAAAGUCUUACAAUUAGAUGAGGCGUUGAAGAAAUCUAAGAAGCGUCCGACUUGGUCAAAAUUCGAAGUAAAUGUUCAUCCAUGGGCAUAAAAAUUGAAGUCACGUUCGAUGAAUGCAAAUGGAACCUCAACAGGGUACCCACGUACAGAUAUGACAUCGACUUUUACGACCUACUGCCGAAAGGAAAUUUACGCAUAGAAAGCAAGUUCAGCCCGAUUUCGUUUGGAUCCCAUCGCUAUGAAAAGUAUGCUUUGCGGAAAUAAUCUGGCGCGAUGUUCUGCGUGUACAGAAGUAAAAAGUAUCGAGAGUCCGCAGGUAUCGAUGAUGUAAGAAUCGCACUCAAGCGUGCACGGAAUUCGAUGUCUUGUUUCUUCUGAAGCUCCUUCGAAGUUCUACUAACCGUGAGAGAACGCGUAAUUAAACAAUUGCAGGUCUACUCAAAACUUGUGGUGAGUAAAUUUCGGUCGCAAUAAGCUUUGAGAAUGAAGUUCGAUUCUCGUUCGAUUUCUGUGUUGUAUAAGAAUGAUGUCACGUUGGAACUAAGUUACCAUUGACAAGCGCGAACGAAGCGAGGGAGAAAGAAAAAUGAAAUUCACGUUCACGGGGAAACUUUCGGUUUCUUUUCUUCGAUUUCUUGACUCGUCAGAAGCGUGAAUCGUCACUCUUUCCCCCGUCGCAUUCAACGCACUGCUUAGCGUGUAAUUUAUUAAAAUUGCAUGGAAACAGAUCGCGAUGACUUUCUUUCUCGCAGAGACGGCUAUCGAAGGUCAUUGUUUUCACCUGACGGAAGCCGCGAAACGGUCCCUUCCGAUUGAUGCGAUCGACAAGAUCGAAUGUCUCGCUUUCUUCGCCGUUUCCACCCCGUUCGAACUUUUUAUCGCGAUUUGCCUCUUAGUUGUCUGAUCGUGUGAAGUUUCGGACGGUUGUUGUCGACCUGUAAAGAUUUAUAACGAUAUCAGCGGCUACUGUUGACAACUGUUUAGGUAUACGUUCGAUUGCCUUUUAAGCACACGAAAUUCUCGGUGUGAUCGAACCUCGGAAAACAGAUAUCGCAGAAUAGACUUAAAUUCUUGCAAACCACAAACCGGUUUCUGCUAGCUGCAAAUGAAUUUAGACCGUGAAGUCGAAGCACGAAAUAUGUUUCCAGUAUAAAACCGAUACCGGUAGAGCACACUGUAUCAGGUCCCGUAGAAAGUUCCUGCCUUCUAUAACAGGGGACAAUAAACUAAUAUAUGUAUAUUAUUUAAUAUGUAUAUAUUUUUUUUUAUUUGUCGACAACGUUCUAACGUAUCUAGAACAAGGAACCGUAACUUAUUAUACUUCGGAAGGGCUUAAUAAUAAACGAACUAACCACAGAUAUUGUAUGUCUUAAAUAAAAAGCGUAGAAGAAUCUUGUACCGCUUCGUAAUGCUUCUUGACUUCUUCGUGUCGACGUUACUCCCCGUCGUAACGCCCCGUCAUAAUUUAAGUCGCAUUGUACAUGAUUGUAUCGUGCAAUGCGUUAUUGCGUCCUGAUGUUAUCGUUUCGGAGGCGUGGUUCCAAUAGUGCGACAGAUAUUCGGCUACUACGGACGUGCAAACGCGUAAGAAAUACUUUAAAUGUACUUUCACCCGCAGGAGAAAGUGCGUUUGCCCUCCGUUACGCCCCUGUAAUAUGCAAAUGAUCGAUUAAAGGGGGAAAUAAGAUAAUCGUACUGGAAACGAGGAUGAACUCGAGAUUAUUAAAUUAUUACGUAAUCGCAUUUUGUAAUUUAACAUUUCCCUGGGAUAUUUGAUGAAGUAAUAAUAAUUGUCUCCAUUCAAGGUGAAUGACCGUCACCCGAACGAAAACCUCUUGCAUUUCUUCCUACCAAAUCGUAACUCGAUAACAUCUUUCUCUUUUCAAGAUCUUUUCCAACGAAUUUGCAAACCAAUCGAAGAAAGCCACAUUUCGUUCAAGAAAGUUGGUCCUUUUUUUUUUUCUUCGUUACAAAUGUUGUAAUAUGAAACUGGUUUUGUAUUCGAAUCGAGACAUUCUCUUGGUAUGAUGUAUGUUCUUGCACGCGUUAAAAUAGUUCCGUUGGUUUAAUGCAAUAACACGCUUCGAGAAGUGUAAUAAUCUUUACGGAGACUUCAAGGACAGUCGUGACUAUUACUUUCUCAUCUAACAGGUAAGGAUGUAAAGUAGUUGAAAUUAAUAGUUUAAACUUUGAACGCUGUAUCUUUUUUAAUGAUAGUGGAAAUUUGCUGCAAUUGAAUGCGCGAACUUUCAUAAAGUUCCAAAAAAGAGUGUCCAAUUAGUGAAUCAAGGCAAGGUGAAAUUGCACCGAAAUCAACAUUAAUCUCUCGUUACACUUUUUAACGGUGAAUUGCAUUUUCUCUUAGGAACACAUAAUUAAUUACAUCUGUAUACAAACAGCGAUGUAUGUUACGUAAUGUAUGCAUACCUGUAGUUCGAAUAAAAUACGUCUGAUCGAGUAGUUCGGUAAACCAGUAUUUAAUGUAUACACGUUACAGGUGCCUAGAGAUUACUGUUACAUCGAGACAUAUCUAAGUAGCAGCAUUUUGAUUUUCAUUAGUAUUUCCUGGUUUGAAACGGGUAUUACUUUUCACAUAACCGAAAAUAGACUCGUGAUAGGUAAUACCAUGAAUUAAAUAAUUAUCAAUUAAUUACGCUACAAAAUGAGA
Hylaeus anthracinus is the source of this 3951-nucleotide long non-coding RNA. RefSeq lists it as uncharacterized. Lineage: Eukaryota; Metazoa; Arthropoda; Insecta; Hymenoptera; Colletidae. The record is from RefSeq and is a predicted model, not a curated record. The transcript has 3 exons.